UUCCUCGUUCCUACUGAUUGG
Molecule: non-coding RNA, 21 nt
Filed under: Caenorhabditis elegans
Lineage: Eukaryota; Metazoa; Nematoda; Chromadorea; Rhabditida; Rhabditidae
Source: RNAcentral